Lethenteron reissneri (Far Eastern brook lamprey) is the source of this 332-nucleotide long non-coding RNA. RefSeq lists it as uncharacterized. The record is from RefSeq and is a predicted model, not a curated record. NCBI's taxonomy places the organism in Eukaryota, Metazoa, Chordata, Hyperoartia, Petromyzontiformes, Petromyzontidae.
CAUACCCGCCUGCCAUCUUCGUGAAGGUUGAAGAGGUACCAAAGCAGCGCCGCCAUCUUAGUAAGACACGAUCUCUCCACUGCUGGACGAAGGCCUGCCGCGAGGCGCCACUGCCACCUUCCACGACCCCGAGAACGAUGAACCCGCCCAGGUGCUGCUCUCCACGCGAGCUGACUUCAUCUGCGGCGUCUCCAUCGGGUCCCGGCUCUGGGUUGCGCUGCCCUCUGUGAGCUCCGGGCGUCGUGAGCUCAAGAGCGGCACGCGCAAGUUCCCCUCCCGUUCACUGGGCGAGUGGCUCGCGCGUCUUGCCUCACCUGCUGGAGGAGGGUCUG